RNAcentral lists this ribosomal RNA (502 nucleotides) under uncultured bacterium. RNAcentral's name for it is "partial 16S ribosomal RNA". It matches the Rfam family "Bacterial small subunit ribosomal RNA", at positions 30 to 523 of the family's 1533-position model. The record is from RNAcentral.
AUUGAACGCUGGCGGAAUGCUUUACACAUGCAAGUCGAACGGCAGCACGGGUGCUUGCACCUGGUGGCGAGUGGCGAACGGGUGAGUAAUAUAUCGGAACGUAUCCAAUAAUGGGGGAUAACUAAUCGAAAGGUUGGCUAAUACCGCAUACGCCCUACGGGGGAAAGCAGGGGAUCUUCGGACCUUGCGUUAAUGGAGCGGCCGAUAUCUGAGUAGCUAGUUGGUGAGGUAAAGGCUAACCAAGGCGACGAUCAGUAGCUGGUCUGAGAGGACGACCAGCCACACUGGAACUGAGACACGGUCCAGACUCCUACGGGAGGCAGCAGUGGGGAAUUUUGGACAAUGGGCGCAAGCCUGAUCCAGCCAUGCCGCAUGAGUGAAGAAGGCCUUCGGGUUGUAAAGCUCUUUCGCAAGGGAAGAAACGAUACAGAAUAAUACUCUGUGUUAAUGACGGUACCUUGGUAAGAAGCACCGGCUAACUACGUGCCAGCCGCCGCAGUAA